ACUCUGUGUGGAGGGUGGAGGAAAGGUUAAUUACUAUAAUUAUAUAAUAUUUCAGUUUGUUUGUUCUUGUUUCUGGGUUUGCUUAUUUUCUUUGUUAUUGUUAUGUAUUGUUAUGAUCCUUUGUUAUUUUCUUAUAGCCCUGGGCAUAAACAUCAAUCCUUAUUUGAGAAAUGGGGUAUAGUGGCAAAAGUCUAAAUUUUAUAGGCUUAAGGCCAAACCCUACAUUAACUUUUCGAUCUUGGGUGAAUGAUUUAGCUUUUCUGGGGUUCAGUUUCUUUACCAGCAAACUGGGGAUAAUAGUCCUUGCCAACUAUAUGCUUUAGAGGUAUAACGAUAAGAUGACUGAAUAAAACAAGCCAUCCACCCCACUUAAAUUAAGUGACAAUAUGUUUAAUCAGCCAACAAUUUUAGAUUAAGCACAAAGAGUCCUUAAAAUUAAAGUAACCUUACUCAAGAAUGAUGCUUGGGUGGACUGAGUUCACUUGAUCAUAUAUCCUAGAAAUCACCUAUAAGUGAUUAAGUUAGUUUUAUCAUUUGAGAAGCUGAAACAGCUUAUGUAAGCUAGAUGGUUUGCCCAAGGUCAGCCAGUAAGCUGUGAACAUGGGACUGAAACUCAAGUAUCCAGGCUGGACCACUUGAUACAAAACCCUAAAAUGAAAGUCUCAAAAAAAUCCUGAAGGACCAGAGAAAAUCUAUGAUAAUCAAACUCAUCUCAGGUAUUCCUUCCUCUUAAUCUUGUGUUUGAUUCUCUUGAGGAACUCUAUUGGGACCAGGAGUUCUUUACUUCAGGGAUCUUCUCAGUAGCCACAGAAAGAACAGGAAGAAAAAGGGAGCACAUGUAAGUGAAACUGCAUUGCCAUGUGUAGGUAGGUGUCCCAGUCUGGAACAACCACUGGGGGUCUCAUGGAAGUUUUCACCAAGGAAUCAGAAAAGGGCAGCAAUUUUUCAGACAUUCAAAUUUGGCUUCAGACAAUUACUGUGUGAUGCUGGGCAAGCCACAGAACCCUAUUUUCCUCAUCUACAAAAUGAACUGGAGAAGGAAAUGAUAAACCACUCCAAUAUUUUUGCCUAGGAAACACCAAAGGGGUCAUGAAGAGUCAGACGUGACUGUAACAACUCAACAAAAAUAACAACAAUCCAGUACACCAUGCUAUCUUUCAAUAGAUACUUCAAUUGAACUUCUCCACAUAACCCCUGAGAUUCGAUUCCUCAUUUGUAAAAUGAGGAAAAAUCUAUCUGAAAAAAUGCCUAGUUGACUUUUGAGAUCCCUCCCAAGUCUUGAUCUAUGAUCCAAAGAAGAAGUAAUGGUUCCAUGAUAAGCCAUCUUUAGCCUUGAUACACCCAGAUUCAACAUCUUGUCCUUCCUCAUUGUUAAUGGAUGGGUUGCCUGGGCUUUUCAUCACUUCCAUAGUGGGGCACCUGGUGGCACGAGAGGGUACAGCUUUCAUAGUGAAAGGUAGACAAGUUUACUAUCUCUGAGAUGACAAGCAGAUUGUGAGAACACAGAUUUUGACCUCAACAGGACCUUAGAAGCAAUAAUGUACAUUUGUACAUAAGUACAAUUGUUCUUCUCCCAUCAUUUUACAGAGGGGGCUCUAUGGCCCUGAGUGACUUCUCCAAGGUCACAGAUAGAAAGUAACAGAACUGAGAUUUUAAUUCAGGUCCCCUGGUUGUGAAUCCAAUACUCUUUCCAAAGGCCAAUGAAGUCCAUGCUAUAUUGGUAUAGGGUAUGGAAGUCACAUGAAAGAACAAUCUUGGGGCAUCUAGGUUGGACAAUGGAUAGAACUCCAAGCCCAGAGUCAGAGGAAUCUGGAUUUAAAUCAGCCCUCAGUCACUUGCUGGCUACUUGACCCUGGGCAAAUCACGUAACCCCAGUUGCCUAACCCUUGCCACUCUUCUGUCUUAGAAUUGAUACUUACAGAAGGUAAGGUUGGUUUUUUUUUAAGUCUAAUAUCCAUCUUAAUCAUCCCCCACCAACCAAAAAAAAAAAAAACAGGGAGAGAGAGUUUUUGGAAUAUCCAAAAAAUAUCCUACCAUGGUAGAUCAGUGCAAAUAUAGUGGGGAAAGACAUU
Molecule: long non-coding RNA, 2072 nt
Organism: Monodelphis domestica (gray short-tailed opossum)
Lineage: Eukaryota; Metazoa; Chordata; Mammalia; Didelphimorphia; Didelphidae
Source: Ensembl